RNAcentral lists this ribosomal RNA (367 nucleotides) under Staphylococcus felis. Its description in RNAcentral is "bacterial SSU rRNA". It matches the Rfam family "Bacterial small subunit ribosomal RNA", at positions 1174 to 1533 of the family's 1533-position model. The record is from RNAcentral. Lineage: Bacteria; Bacillati; Bacillota; Bacilli; Caryophanales; Staphylococcaceae.
UGGGGAUGACGUCAAAUCAUCAUGCCCCUUAUGAUUUGGGCUACACACGUGCUACAAUGGACAAUACAAAGGGCAGCGAAACCGUGAGGUCAAGCCAAUCCCAUAAAGUUGUUCUCAGUUCGGAUUGAAGUCUGCAACUCGACUACAUGAAGCUGGAAUCGCUAGUAAUCGUAGAUCAGCAUGCUACGGUGAAUACGUUCUCGGGUCUUGUACACACCGCCCGUCACACCACGAGAGUUUGUAACACCCGAAGCCGGUGGAGUAACCAUUUGGAGCUAGCCGUCGAAGGUGGGACAAAUGAUUGGGGUGAAGUCGUAACAAGGUAGCCGUAUCGGAAGGUGCGGCUGGAUCACCUCCUUUCUAAGGA